AGUUGAAUCAGCCCGGUAGAUUGUUGGGCUUGUGGCUAUUGUUGCCAAGUCAAGUGUGGGUGUGGGUGUGGGUGUGGGGUGCGCGAAAUGAAUCAGAAAUUCGGAGGACGGAGGCAGCCGAGUGGCACUCCGUCGCUGGCGUGGUCGUGCGUGGUUGUCGUUGUUUCUCUUCUUUCUGGCGCUUCCAUUGUUCACAACAUCUUCAAGCCUGAUUUGACAUUGCCACCAGUUGACAGUGUUCAUGGGGCCAAGGACGGAGAACCUGACAAAGGAUGAACAUACACAGUACCUUCGACAAACUGGUUGAUUUUUGUUAACAUUCAAUGCUUUGAACUUCAAAUCCAUGAUAUUGUUUUCUAGGUGGAAUUGAUAGAGGUACAUUUUGCCAUUAAUAUGUUUAUUGGGAUUGUUGUCGCACUGUGUGUUCUGUCGUAUAAGCUUGUUAUCUGUGUUACUGAUUAAGGACUGACUAGCUCUGCUGUCAAGUUGCCUUCCAUUGAGCUGCUGAAGUUACGUGCAA
Camellia sinensis is the source of this 520-nucleotide long non-coding RNA. RefSeq lists it as uncharacterized. The record is from RefSeq and is a predicted model, not a curated record. NCBI's taxonomy places the organism in Eukaryota, Viridiplantae, Streptophyta, Magnoliopsida, Ericales, Theaceae.